GACAGAGGAGGCAAGCGUUGUUCGGAAUCAUUGGGCUUAAAGGGCGUGUAGGCGGCCGCGCAAGUGUCCUGUGAAAUCCCACGGCUCAACCGUGGAACUGCGGGGCAAACUGCACGGCUUGAGGUCGGUAGAGGCGCCUGGAACUCUAGGUGGAGCGGUGAAAUGCGUAGAUAUCUAGAGGAACGCCAGGAGCGAAAGCGGGGCGCUGGGCCGAUUCUGACGCUGAGACGCGAAAGCGUGGGGAGCAAACAGG
RNAcentral lists this ribosomal RNA (253 nucleotides) under uncultured bacterium. RNAcentral describes it as "partial 16S ribosomal RNA". It matches the Rfam family "Bacterial small subunit ribosomal RNA", at positions 524 to 776 of the family's 1533-position model. The record is from RNAcentral.